RNAcentral lists this ribosomal RNA (467 nucleotides) under uncultured bacterium. RNAcentral's name for it is "partial 16S ribosomal RNA". It matches the Rfam family "Bacterial small subunit ribosomal RNA", at positions 28 to 506 of the family's 1533-position model. The record is from RNAcentral.
GACGAACGCUGGCGGCGUGCUUAACACAUGCAAGUCGAACGGAAAGGCCCUGCUUUUGUGGGGUGCUCGAGUGGCGAACGGGUGAGUAACACGUGAGUAACCUGCCCUUGACUUUGGGAUAACUUCAGGAAACUGGGGCUAAUACCGGAUAGGAGCUCCUGCUGCAUGGUGGGGGUUGGAAAGUUUCGGCGGUUGGGGAUGGACUCGCGGCUUAUCAGCUUGUUGGUGGGGUAGUGGCUUACCAAGGCUUUGACGGGUAGCCGGCCUGAGAGGGUGACCGGCCACAUUGGGACUGGGAUACGGCCCAGACUCCUACGGGAGGCAGCAGUGGAGAAUAUUGCACAAUGGGCGGAGGCCGGAUGCAGCAACGCCGCGUGCGGGAUGACGGCCUUCGGGUUGUAAACCGCUUUCGCCUGUGACGAAGCGUGAGUGACGGUAAUGGGUAAAGAAGCACCGGCUAACUACGU